Molecule: ribosomal RNA, 492 nt
Filed under: uncultured bacterium
Lineage: Bacteria
Description: partial 16S ribosomal RNA
Rfam family: Bacterial small subunit ribosomal RNA
Source: RNAcentral
AGUGAACGCUGGCGGUAGGCCUAACACGUGCGAGUCGAACGGCAGCACAGUAAGAGCUUGCUCUUACGGGUGGCGAGUGGCGGACGGGUGAGGAAUACAUCGGAAUCUACUUUUUCGUGGGGGAUAACGUAGGGAAACUUACGCUAAUACCGCAUACGACCUACGGGUGAAAGCAGGGGAUCUUCGGACCUUGCGCGAUUGAAUGAGCCGAUGUCGGAUUAGCUAGUUGGCGGGGUAAAGGCCCACCAAGGCGACGAUCCGUAGCUGGUCUGAGAGGAUGAUCAGCCACACUGGAACUGAGACACGGUCCAGACUCCUACGGGAGGCAGCAGUGGGGAAUAUUGGACAAUGGGCGCAAGCCUGAUCCAGCCAUACCGCGUGGGUGAAGAAGGCCUUCGGGUUGUAAAGCCCUUUUGUUGGGAAAGAAAAGCAGCAGGUUAAUACCCCGCUGUUCUGACGGUACCCAAAGAAUAAGCACCGGCUAACUUCGUG